Long non-coding RNA from Ornithorhynchus anatinus (platypus), 972 nucleotides. RefSeq lists it as uncharacterized. The record is from RefSeq and is a predicted model, not a curated record. Lineage: Eukaryota; Metazoa; Chordata; Mammalia; Monotremata; Ornithorhynchidae. The transcript is spliced from 3 exons.
AUAUUAAAAAUGAUAAAAUGGAAAGUGAAAUGUGGGUGCUCCUAGAAAUGGGAAACUUGAGUGACAGUCUACCCCACCCCCUCCCUAACCACCUCCCAACAUCUUACUUCUUUCAAUAGGGACCUGCAAGGAACGGGGAGCAAAGGAAGAGAAGACACAUUGUCUCGCAGAAAUCUGAAGGAAUAGAGUAAAAUCCUCAUUCGGAUCCGGUGCCUGGCCAGUCAAGACAUUGAGUAACCAACCACUGGGAGCUUAUGGAGGAAACGGGAAAAUUACAUACAUACAAACAAAAAUAGACACACCCACAAAUAAGCUUGUGUCAAAACACGUGUUGGAAACUAGCAGUCAAAACGACUGGCUUCCAGUCUCACUUACUUCUGCCAAGCUCUUCCGUGCAAGGACUUCUCUUAGAAAGGGAAAAAGGGUGGAAAACGCAGGAAGGGUGACUUGCCCAUGGCUGUUUGUCACUGUGGAGUUAUUUUUCAAUGCUAUCGAAGAGCUAUGAGGGAUGCAGAUCUGCCAGGCAAGCAUUCCUGCUAACAACUAAAAAUAAUGAUGUAAGAAGAACAUUCCCAAAUGAACUUUAAGAAGAGGAAUAACAGCACUGGUCUGAAGACGAUGUAGAGGAAAAUCUCACCAAUUAGGCGCAAUGAAUGCAACGGACCAGUAGUCGAAUAUUUAAAAUAUCAUGCUCAAGGAAAAACCUGGUGAAAAGGUGGUUCUAGCAACUCCGCCUGGGGGUAAGCAGUCGUGGUGUGGAGGAACCCCAGAAGACAGAUUCUUCCAUUCAGAAUUUCCUCAGGUGGGAAGAUUUGGAAAGCUCAUGACAGGAACUCUAUGGCAACUUUGGUUCUGGGGACAUGUAGGAUAAUAGGUCAAUCUCUUCCCAAACUCGAUGUCUUCUCCUUGGGGUUUCCAUGCUAAGGCAGCCAAAAUAGAAAAAAGAGGUAAAAAAUAAAAGGACCUGGAGCA